Molecule: long non-coding RNA, 518 nt
Organism: Daphnia pulicaria
Lineage: Eukaryota; Metazoa; Arthropoda; Branchiopoda; Diplostraca; Daphniidae
Exons: 2
Source: RefSeq, a predicted model, not a curated record
GUUUCUGCGUCAACCUUUUGUUGAACGGUUGAGGUCGACUGCUGUUUUGUUGUCAACUGCCGCUAGGGGGUUGUACCAUGGGAAAGUUCAACCUCUGUUUUUGCGUCAAGCAAAAUUCCGAGUUGAACUAGAAAAGUUGAAUUCGCUCAACCGUGGUCUGGACCACGGUUGAUCUUUAGUUCAACUGCAUAUCAUACAUCUCCCCGCCCCUUUUUUUGCACACCACAGUCAUUAUAUAAAUAAAUGAGGCAACGGUGUUUCAUUAUUAUACUUUUUUAUUAUUUUUCUUUCAGGCAUUACAUUAUAAUUUGAAUGUUUCUAAUUUAUCAGAGAUAAAUCUUAAUGAAAAUGGAAAGUGAAAGUAGUAUUUUGCCUGAUAAAAGUGAUAAUAAUGCCUUAAAGGAGUGUUGGAAUGGUGGGAAAAGGGCAUCACAAUUGAACAUUGAUAUGGAAGCAACAGAAUUGUUACUGAAUCUCUUAAAAGAGAAGUGGAGUCUCUUUAUUGACAACAAAACAAA